This is a small nucleolar RNA of Chelonoidis abingdonii (Abingdon island giant tortoise), 139 nucleotides long. NCBI's taxonomy places the organism in Eukaryota, Metazoa, Chordata, Testudines, Testudinidae. The record is from Ensembl.
CUUCAGCGAAGAUAUGAUGACGAGUCUGAAAAGAGAUCUGUCCAAAUGCCCUGUGCCAUGUUAUGUUCUAUAUCAUGGAUUUCAGGACCUUGAAUCGGAGUCCUUGACUGAUGACUUCAGAGGCAUUUGUCUGAGAAGG